Molecule: long non-coding RNA, 443 nt
Organism: Paramisgurnus dabryanus
Lineage: Eukaryota; Metazoa; Chordata; Actinopteri; Cypriniformes; Cobitidae
Source: RefSeq, a predicted model, not a curated record
AGAAACACUGGAGAGUUCAGUGUUUGUCCCUCUGUUGGUGUUUCUGCCUCAGUUUCUCAUUAUAGGAGCUGUAUGGAUCUGGUUUUUCAUCAGCAUGAAUAAAUUGAACUCAUCUAAAAACAAAACUGAUGACAAAGAAAUAGAGGCCACUUUACACUGAUCCAACUCCAACAAACUCCAAUAUUAUGAAGUCUCAUUUAUUGAUCCAACAAUUGCCAACACGGGCAUUUGUUGGCGUUUGUUGGAUGACAUCAUCACCUAGCAACAGUCUCUCAGCAUUGACACCAUUGACAUUAUAUAUUAAUAAAAAUUGAAUGUGUAUAUAAUAAAAUGUUCAAAUUAGGGCUGGUAAUUGAAUGCGUUAAUCAGUAUUGUGUCAGUGUAGGUUAAACUGUAACAUCAGUCAAUUGAAAUAGAUCUAUAAAACAAUGAGAUGAGUGAUA